UACGUAGGGUGCGAGCGUUAAUCGGAAUUACUGGGCGUAAAGCGUGCGCAGGCGGAUCGUUAAGACAGGUGUGAAAUCCCCGGGCUCAACCUGGGAAUGGCGCUUGUGACUGGCGAUCUGGAGUACGGCAGAGGGAGGUGGAAUUCCACGUGUAGCAGUGAAAUGCGUAGAGAUGUGGAGGAACACCGAUGGCGAAGGCAGCCUCCUGGGCCAGUACUGACGCUCAUGCACGAAAGCGUGGGGAGCAAACAGG
Molecule: ribosomal RNA, 253 nt
Filed under: uncultured bacterium
Lineage: Bacteria
Description: partial 16S ribosomal RNA
Rfam family: Bacterial small subunit ribosomal RNA
Source: RNAcentral